GCGGGCGUAGCUUAGUCUGGUUCAAAGCGUCUGAUUGUCAGUCAGAAGAUCGCCGGUCCAAAUCCGGUCGCCCGCGCCA
Molecule: transfer RNA, 79 nt
Filed under: Candidatus Wildermuthbacteria bacterium
Lineage: Bacteria; Candidatus Wildermuthiibacteriota
Description: tRNA-Asp
Rfam family: tRNA
About the family: Transfer RNA (tRNA) molecules are approximately 80 nucleotides in length.
Source: RNAcentral